Xyrichtys novacula (pearly razorfish) is the source of this 1485-nucleotide non-coding RNA. Lineage: Eukaryota; Metazoa; Chordata; Actinopteri; Labriformes; Labridae. The record is from the annotation of a GenBank genome assembly.
UUCGAAUGUCGUCAUGUUCCCUCUAACUAAAGCGCGGUACAGCUAACAACACUGGGAGCGACCUUCUGACCUUCACAACCUGGACUAAGAGUGACGUCAGCCUCCAACAGACGGUGUGUGAAAUUCAGAAAUCCAUGAAAGCUGAUCAGCUGUGUGGCGCUAACACGGUCUGUGUGAUGAUGUUAUUGUUGAACCUGCGUUUGAAAAGCCCAGAAGGAUCUGAGGCGAAAAACGUCCCAGGUUAGUCCAGUUGUCCUUUUCCAAAACAGAGUUAGAUUUUGAUUUUGAUCCUCAGAGGAACGGAAAGAAGUCGGUGUAAAUUGACACGUUAACUUGAAUGGUUACGAUCAGCUACGAUCGGAGGAUACGACCUUUCAGGAGACGAUCAGGAUGAAGGUGGAGGUCGGGGGUCAGAGAGAAAGUGCCAGAAACGGAAGAAUCCUCCUGUCAGCAAAACAGUCUGCAGAACUCAGGGGUCCAAAAAGGAAGUAGGAGAGCUCUGGUGGACUCUGGUGGACUCUGGUAGACCGCCGUCGCUCCAGUAAACCACAUACAGGCUGACACAGAUCAAUAUUUAAGGAGGAGUCAAAGAAAAGUGAGAACUUCUUGAAGCAGUCUGAUCGUUUGGGUGAAAACUCUGGACUGACAGGAAAAAUCGUUCAAACACGACAAAGAAGAAGAAAGUUUCGACUCCGCUCAUGGAAAUGAUUCUUGGAUCGCCUUGAUAAGCAGCCAAGCCUCGCCGCAGCCCAAAAAUCAAACAUGCGGGACAUGGUACAUAUGAAAGUCUUUAUGGGACCCUAUAGGAGGCCUCCCUCUCUCUCCCUCUCUCUCCCUCUCUCUUCCUUUCUCUGUCUUGUCGUCCUCAGGCUGUGUAAGCUCUGCGGUUUGGCGAGCUGCUGCACAGAUCUCAGUAGUUCCUGUUGUGGAAAGAAAGAUUAUUACGAGCCCACACGGCUACAGUUCAGAACUAUUAUUAUAAUCAUCAUUUCACCAGAAACAGCCGAGGUAUCCACUCACCCCGCUCUCCAGUGUCACCCUCAUCCUCUCUGCUCUUAAUUUAGCCUCUCUGUGGAAGAAAAAGGAAAUAUACUGAAAAAGUCAAAAAAGAAAAAGAAGAAGAGAGAAAAACGAUCUUCAAAUCCAGAGACACAUAAAAACAGAGAAAACUGAAACUAGAGCGGAGAGUGGACAGGGAUCGAGAAUCAACAGGAUUCUGAGGUUGAGCACCAAACACCAAGGAGGGAGGUAGGGAGGAAGGAAGGAAGGAAGGAAGGAAGGAAGGAAGGAAGGAAGGAAAAGAGAAGGAAGGAAGGAAGCAAGGGAGGGAGGAAAAAAGGAAAAGAGAAGGAAGGAAGGGAGAAAGGAACGGAGUAAGAAAAGAAGGCAGGAAAGAAGGAAGAAGUAGGGGAAGAAAGGAAUGAAGGAAGGAAUGAAAGAAGAAAAGAAGGAAGGACAGAAGGGAGGAAGGAAAGAAGGAAGGAA